CUACAAGGAACUGGUCGAGAUCCCAGCUGAAGACGGCCGUGGGGCCGCCACCCGCAGCCCACCCACCCCACCACUGCAGGCGAGGAGCUUCGUGGUCUGAGGGGUGGCGGCCGCUGCAUCCCCCUGAGGACGAGCCCCCCGCGACCCACAGAGCAGCCUCAGGGUCACCCCCUGCGCCCCGACGCCUUCGCCCCUGGGAAGGACCUUUUCUGGGGAGAGCCGCGGCCUUUCCGCUUCCGCGGGCUCCAUUGCCAUGCACUGCUUUGCUGCUUGAGUAAAGAUUUCUUGCAGAAAUA
This is a long non-coding RNA of Tyto alba (common barn owl), 296 nucleotides long. RefSeq lists it as uncharacterized. The transcript has 3 exons. The record is from RefSeq and is a predicted model, not a curated record. Lineage: Eukaryota; Metazoa; Chordata; Aves; Strigiformes; Tytonidae.